This 402-nucleotide unclassified non-coding RNA is filed under the name soil metagenome. RNAcentral describes it as "partial contains 5.8S ribosomal RNA, internal transcribed spacer 2, and large subunit ribosomal RNA". The stretch from base 1 to 121 matches the Rfam family "5.8S ribosomal RNA", at positions 35 to 154 of the family's 154-position model. The record is from RNAcentral.
GAUGAAGAACGUAGCGAAAUGCGAUAAGUAAUGUGAAUUGCAGAAUUCAGUGAAUCAUCGAAUCUUUGAACGCACCUUGCGCCCUUUGGCUAUUCUGAAGGGCAUGCCUGUUUGAGUAUCAUGAACACCUCAACUCUCGUGGUUUGCCAUGAUGAGCUUGGACUUUGGGGGUCUUGCUGGCCUACGGUCAGCUCCUCUCAAAUGAAUCAGCUUGCCAGUGUUUGGUAGAGUCGCAGGUGUGAUAACUAUCUACGCUUGUGGUUUUCUGCCAGAUAACCUUCAGUGAUGGAGGUUCGCUGGAGCUUAUAAAUGUCUCUCCCCAGUGAGGACAGCUUUUUGAACGUUUGAUCUCAAAUCAGGUAGGACUACCCGCUGAACUUAAGCAUAUCAAUAAGCGGAGGA